CCCAGCUGCCUCCGCCCCUGUUCGCGUGUUCCGCGAGCUGUCGGAGCUCGUCUCCGCCGCCGAAGGGUCGCCGGAGCUGCCGCCAAUCACCACCUGAGCUGCCGCCGUCCAUCUCCGCCGGUUUUUGCGCCUCACCAGCCACCAGAUCCGCUCCUUCUCAGCCCCAAACAGAAGCUGGAAAAAUGGGUAUGGCAGCGGACAUUUGACCCGUUUUGGCCGCCUUCCCGAGCCCGGAUGCUCGGCCCGCCUUGAGGAAAGUCAAUCCUUGCGUCGUCCUCGUCGUUUUGGUCUGCUCGGCUCGCUAAUCCGGUGAGUUUAACUCACUAAAUCUUGAUUAAAGGGUUAAUGAUGCCCUAAGUGUGCUUAGUCUAAGUUAAGUGAGUUUAGGUGGUUAGAUUAGUUUAUUUGGUUGAUGAUUAGAUUAGGGUGUUUAAUUAAGUUAAAGUGUGUUUAGUUUAAGGUUAAGUAUGUUUAUUUUUAAUAUAAAGCCUUGAUGUGACAUAAUAGGGUUUUAUUUUUGAAUUAUUUAAUGAUUUCGAAUUCUGGAAUUUAUAAUAUUAUAUUAUAUUCCGAAAUUAUUAAAAUAUUAUUACUUAUAAAAAAAAAACUGAAAAAUUAUUUUUGACCCCGGUUGCUCAGAAUUUCGUGCCGAUCGCUGCUGUGUAGUCAGAUUUUGAAAUUGAUGAUUGAAUAUUAUAAAUUGAGCGUGGAUCGUGAAAAAUAUGGAUAUUAUUAUUAUAUUAAUUUUUGGAAUAAAAUUAAUUAUUUAAUAAAUUCCAAAAAAUUAUUUUGGGACCCUAAAUUCUCAGAAUUUCGUGCUGAUCGCUGCUGUGCAUUUAGAAUUUGAAUUUGAUGAAUGUAUGUGGCAAAUUGAGUGUUGAUUGUGGUAAAUAAGGAUUUUAUUCAUAAAAACCCAAGUGUCGGGUUUUGAUGCAAAAAUUGGAUUUUAAUGAUUAUAUUAAAUAGUGGGGUUUGAAAAAGUGACAUAUUGGCUUUUUGAUUUGAAAUUAGCAUGUCCCCACACACGUGAGUAAUUUCUGGAAUAUUCUUAAUAUGAAGAAAAAUGGCCGGGAUCACUAUUUUAAGUGGAAGCAUUGAGUGAAAUAUAAAGUGUCUUGGAGCCGAGUAUGCUUUGGCUGUGUGAUAACUAAGAGGAAUCGUCCUGGGCUGUUGAGCCAGACUUGCCCCUAUAUGGGAUGCCCACGCGGUGGAUGCGGGUCGCAAUUGAUUCUGGGCCCAUGCUCCUUCGGGAACGCCGUCGAUGUACUGGCGAAGCCGCGCUCCAUGGGGGGAGGCGAUGCCUGGCUAUAUGCCAGUAGAUAGCUGAACUGCGAGUAGGCUAUGCCCUUGUGUGGUAGUGAAUAACAAUUGGAAUGCAUGUUGAGUGUUGUUGAUGUGUCGGAUUAUGGGACGGAAUUGUGUGGCAUGGAAUGGGACGUGUCAUAACGAUUUAGUCUUAUAAUCAGGACCCCCGCGGUUGUUGGUUAUAUGAAAGAGAAUGCGUUCCGGUUGUUUAAGUUCCUAUUACUAUCUGCGAUUGAGUGAUUUGAAUUGUGCUAACCUGCAGGAAGGAACUGAGGCGAGGUAAGUAUUCUGUGUGAUGUGGCUAGGCCACUCGGGGUGUAUUUUCUUUCUAAUAGGGGUUUAGGGGGUUGAACUUGCUGAGACAUCGUCUCAUUCCGGUUGUGGGAUUAAAAUUUCAGGUCCCUAGAUGGCGGUCGUGGAGGACCCGAAGCCCUAAGUCUAGAAAGGUGGAGACUGAAGUAUCGGUGAACGUGUCCUGCUAAUUGGUUUUAGGAUGGUUCCCCUUUUGUCGAGCUAGUUAAUUUUGUAGACUGUCCAGAGUUAUAUUUAAACCUAUGUGCUUGUAAAUGAGUGUUUGGUAUUGUGAUUGAUUGCCUG
RNAcentral lists this long non-coding RNA (1902 nucleotides) under Eucalyptus grandis. Its description in RNAcentral is "long non-coding RNA (EGRA_LNC005460)". Lineage: Eukaryota; Viridiplantae; Streptophyta; Magnoliopsida; Myrtales; Myrtaceae. The record is from RNAcentral.